RNAcentral lists this ribosomal RNA (253 nucleotides) under uncultured bacterium. Its description in RNAcentral is "partial 16S ribosomal RNA". It matches the Rfam family "Bacterial small subunit ribosomal RNA", at positions 524 to 776 of the family's 1533-position model. The record is from RNAcentral.
UACGGAGGGGGCUAGCGUUGUUCGGAAUUACUGGGCGUAAAGCGCACGUAGGCGGCUUUGCAAGUCAGAGGUGAAAGCCCGGGGCUCAACCCCGGAAUAGCCUUUGAGACUGCAUCGCUAGAAUUGUGGAGAGGUAAGUGGAAUUCCGAGUGUAGAGGUGAAAUUCGUAGAUAUUCGGAAGAACACCAGUGGCGAAGGCGACUUACUGGACACAUAUUGACGCUGAGGUGCGAAAGCGUGGGGAGCAAACAGG